AACCUGGGCUGCCUGACUGCACCAGUCAGCUCUCUGCCAGCUUGCAGCACAGGUGAACACCACGCACCUGCAGUGAGCCGGGCAGGUAUAAACAUGACGCACCUGCAUUGAGCAGCAUUUUGACGCAGUCCAGAUGCUCCCGGGCGCAGGCCACGUGCAGAGGGGUCCCAAAGUGGCAGUCGUGCGCUUCCAGGUUGGCCCCAACAUCAAUAAGAAGCCUCACACACUCAGAACUUCCUUAAAAGAAAUGGAGACGGAGGAAAGGCAUCGUAUCACAUAUAUUUGAAAUAACAGGCUUGGCAGACACGCGGCUGCUGGAGCAGGACGUCUGACCCAACUCCAGUGAACGACACAUGAGGGAGAGGCUGCUGACAGCGUUCACAGUUUCGACACACCCCUCGCCCCCGAUGUUGCCUAGAUGCGAGCUGGGAAGUGCCGUGGCCGUCGGACCACCUGCCUAACGUCGGCUCUGAGGAUGGGAAGCACCAGGACAGGACCGCAGCCGCCGACCUCCUGUUCCAGCACAGCGCCUGACACACAGGUAUCAAAUAAAUACUCUCCAGAAGCCUGUUGUACUUGCCGGAAAACUUCUACUGCAGUUGGGUCUGCCCGCGCCAGAGUACACCCCACUACCGGCCCCUUACAGGCCUGCCCAGCCCUGACACUGACCUGGGCCACACGUUGGCCUUGCCCACUCCAGCCGUGCCAGGGGCCAGGGCAUCAAUUAAACAGGAGUUUGUUGUAGCAGAGCCCAGGCUGCAGUCCCCAGAAGACAGAGCACCAGGGCGCUGGUGCUAAAGGGCAGACAGCAGCGCCCAGGUCCCUCCUGCCUCCUGCCCGGGCUUCGGUUCAAGGCCACGGAGAUACCUGUGUCACUCCUUCUGCUGAGUGGCUGCUGGCAAGCCAAGCUCACGAAGGACUAAGUGAAAACCGUCAUCUGCAAAACUAGAGUCUCACCAACACCACCUACAGGAUCUUCUACCGGACAAGUGCAAGGUCACCCCGAGAAGGAAUGACAGACGCUUGAGAACAUUUCUGCCACUCUUCUGCACCCCUGCCUGACCUGACUGAUCCAGCCUGGGCACCAGACGUGCACCUGCUGACUCCCAACCCGACACCCCUGUGUACCUUGGCUGGGCCCUGACACUCUCACAUCUGAGGGCUGGCCCUGCCCGGCCCAGGCCCAGCCUUCGGGAGUCAAGAAACCCCAGCUGAACACUUCAAGUGGUUCAGCGUCAGCCUUCCCUUGGGAGCGGGAUACAUGGUGAGGAGCCUCAGGAACCACUCAGCUCGUGAGUCCAACGCCUGUCUGUCCUUUAGCCCCGUGACCUGGGGCACGUCACUUAUCCUCUCAAAGCCUCAGUUUUCAAUUACACGUCAAUUUUUUUUAAGCCUCAGCUUUCUCUCAUAUAAAAUGGCGAUGUUUUUGCCUACUCCCCUGGGGUGGCUGUAAUGACAGUGAAAUCCUGCUGGGCACGACCGGCACGGUGGCAGGCAAGUGUACGAUGACAGCACACACUAUGACCACAAUGGGAUUGUUAGCAUCAUUCUAUUUCUGCUGGUCCUGCUUGGGUCCCAGCCUCCAGUUCUACUGCCUGUCAUGUUCCAAAGCCCCACCUGGGACUCCGGCUCCAGCAUCUGGAUCCCGCAUGAGUCCCCUGCAUGGAGUCCCAGCCCCUUGGCCCUGGCACCCGCCUUCUCUAUGCGUGUCCAGCAGUGGGUGUUCCAGACCAGCUCCCCUGGCCGACUGUUCAAUAUUCAGCAAGUCCGCCAGGCGGAAACCCCUGGGAGCUGAAAUCAGCGUGAGGGUGAGUAUUUACACCAGGGAAAGCAGAAAAUCAGAUCAGGUUUCCUUUUUUUUUCUUUUUUUUCCUUUUUUCUCCAGAGAGCCAAUUUACCAACAUCCUGCUUAGUCAUCCAGAGCCCAGAAUCCUGCUCUUUGAGCCCAAACCGCAGCUCUCAGCCAGGGCCCCACCGGCCCUCCUCGAGAGCCUGGCCUUGCGACGUGCAGGGCCUGCCGGGCUCCCGUUCCACAUGCAGAGCAGAGCACUCAUCGGCCCUACCCACCUGUCCAGAGUCUAGAACCCGACCCCUGUGCAGACCCUGACCCUGACCGCUCCUCCCUCAGCCAGGGGCCCCUCCACACAGCAGCCCCGCUCAAACAAAGUGUUUUCCAAACGCCACGGAGAACACCUACACCACAAGCGGAUCCAACGUGCUCAGUAUCCA
Long non-coding RNA from Globicephala melas (long-finned pilot whale), 2229 nucleotides. RefSeq lists it as uncharacterized. Lineage: Eukaryota; Metazoa; Chordata; Mammalia; Artiodactyla; Delphinidae. The record is from RefSeq and is a predicted model, not a curated record.